UUCCUGAAAGAGUUCAAGGGAAACCCGAGUUUAGCUACUUCAUGACAUCUGGUGGUUCAAGUGUUUCACCUGAACAAAAUCCAACGCCAGUGGCCAUUCCUGCCCCUUCUCAUCGUCUUCCUCCUACUCCUCCGUCUUUUCCACAAGAAACUUACCCAGACUUGCUUCAUUAUGCACAAAUUCUUUCCAGCAACGAUGCAAAUUUCCCU
Molecule: unclassified non-coding RNA, 209 nt
Filed under: Hevea brasiliensis (rubber tree)
Lineage: Eukaryota; Viridiplantae; Streptophyta; Magnoliopsida; Malpighiales; Euphorbiaceae
Source: RNAcentral